This 2655-nucleotide long non-coding RNA is filed under the name Volvox carteri. Its description in RNAcentral is "long non-coding RNA (VCAR_LNC002991)". The record is from RNAcentral. Lineage: Eukaryota; Viridiplantae; Chlorophyta; Chlorophyceae; Chlamydomonadales; Volvocaceae.
UUACACCCAACUAACCCAGCUUACUUACGCAAGCUCGCAUUAGUUGUUGCUCCAUAGGUAAAUGCCAAAGGAGAAGAUACCCCCUCUAGCGGAAAUAAACAAACAAACUGAGCACCAAAACAGCGCAACGCGACGGGCCGCUAGAGGGACAAAGGACGCGAGAGCUGCCAGACAGGCACACACACCGACACGAAAGAAAGCUCCCCAAGCAAAACGCCUCAACGACCUCCAAACGAUACUCCAGCAGCAAGGACGGCGGACACGCCAUCUCUACACAGGCAAAAGAGCGAACAAACAGAACGCUGCCAAAACCACAAGGACGAGGUCAAACCAGCACUCUCCAACCGCGCACAGACUGACCCACCGGCCACCAACGCGACGGAUCCCUCAACAAACGCUGACGGACGCCCACUGAAGGAAGGGACGAUAGACACGCGAGGAUGCCAAACAUGUGCCCGCUAAGGGUUGACUAAACGGCCAACUAGGGCUUGAACUGAAAACCGGCUCUGCAAUAACGACCGCUCCACGCGCCCAGGGCACUGACAGCAGGGAUACGGAUGACGAAACCCAGCACGACAAACAGCAAGGUCGGGGCCACCUCCGAACCAACAGGUACAACGGCCAACUGUUCAAAGAAUCCACACAGCACCUGCAAUAAAGGCCAACACAAAGAGAGUCUGACAGAGCCACGGAGUGCUGCAAAUGCAACCAACUACUAUAAAAACGCCGCCAGCAGGGGCUGCCUCCAGCACAGGGCGCUCUUGGUUAACCGAGCAAGUCAUACACGGAGCUCACGGAGUUCACGGCACUGAAAAUAAGGCGGAGCAGCACGGGCUUGGAUAAAGCUCUUGGCAGCUAGGAACUGACCCCACAGGAGCCCGACAUAAACGGAGUCAGAAAGAGCCCCAGCCUACCGCGACACAGAAAACGCACAAACACAGCGAAGCAAAACUGCCAGGUCUUAGCACCAACCCUGGGACAAGGUAACCUGGCAACCGGCAAAGACAUGCGGAAUGGACCAACCCUAGGCCGGCGAGCGACAGCUGCGAUACCAACAGGUUAUCAAAGACCGGGGAUGUCGCAACGGAUUGCAGAUCCAGCGAGAAACCGGGACCUAUUCCGCGCCAAAGGUACUACUCGAAUUUAGUCCCAAAUCCAGCGGGGUUGGAACCAGCGGUACCACCGGAUACCAAGCAAGUGAAACCGCUCCGAAAUCACGAGAAACCAAACGCAGGUUAACACCAAGCGACGAAAAAACCAACUACCUGCGCGGUGCCUAAGGAGCGCACACACAACAAAUCCCUACCUAUUCGCUCCACAUAACUGCAUACCUGCUCCCCUGGCGCAAAGCAACUACAGCGUUCCCUCAAAGAUGGUCCCACUGCCCCUAUAACAAAUAACGCGGCCCAGGGGGAAGGGUGAAAUGCUCGGAAAGCGCUCCUAGCGGGGCACACACACGGCCGAACUUGCAGCGUCUCACGGAACGACCUAGUGCUAAGCAAAGCGCCCACAUGAAGAUUGCACCCGCACUGCCACGACCUGCCAGGAAGGGGGUGGUAGAUAGGUGCUCGACCCACCCUCGCCCGGCGCAAACAGCUCCGUAUUGGACGGCAGGAACACAAGGUCAACCGCCAACUCCAUCAACUGUUGCCACCAAGGUUGGGCCGUCCAGUACGGCACGACUAGGGUGAGGCACGCUCCCUCCUCGCGCACUUUCUGCACCACAGCAGCAAGAAGUCGGGGUCCAAGGGUGGGCAGCCAUAUGCAUUAAGUCCUGCCCAAGAUUGCAAGAGAGCAUUGACCCCCGACGAACCCGGACAAUGGUGGCGAGAAAAGAAAACCGGGAGAUGCGUGUUAAUAUGCGUGGCAAACAAGUCGACAUGGUGCGGACCGAAGCGGUGCUCCAAAAGGCGGAAAAACCGGGGAUGCAAGCGGUAACCAUCACGGUCUACCCAACGCGAGGCUUCAUCUGCCUCGUUGUCAGCACUAGCCACACGCUCGACUUGCAGAACAAUACUAUGUUUCUGCAUAAAUCCCCAUAAUAAUAAUAAUAAAAUUUAGUUCGGCAUGCAGAGCUGCCGAGCGCGAGGAAAGACACCCUAGCACUGCUUGUGUGCACAUAUUGUCCUCCCUAAUUAACACAACACGCUGCUGAACGAACGGGAGGAAGGACUCUAAAGCAUGACGGACAGCGCGCAACUCCUUCCAUUUGAUGUGCUCGUAGAGCUCUGGUGCCGACCAAUAACCGCGCGCCACACGACCAUGCAGGACCGCGCCCCACGAAUGGCAUGGUGCAUCCACUGAAAGCUCAACUGCAGCAGGCCCCUGCUGAAUAGCCGCCGAGCAGCGGUGGGUAGGGAUGUCCGCCCACCAAUCUAAGUCACGUAACGACCCACGGGACAAGCGAACUCGACCGGACCAGCCAACAGGUUGCUUAAUGUCGUCGUAAAAAUUGCGGAGAAAUAAAGGUGCUGGGGUAAGGGCCAAUUUGACACUCUGCGCAAAACCACAAAACUUAGCCAGCUCACGCUUCUGGACAAGACGCCGAUUUUUCUUUGCCGUGAUCCGCAACCCGAUCGCCAGCCGCCGCAAUUUGGUGAGCUUCUGCUUAGGCACCUCAAACACACCAGCUGCCGUAUUGAUUGUAAUGCCUAA